GGGGGAAUAUUGGACAAUGGGCGCAAGCCUGAUCCAGCCAUGCCGCGUGUGUGAAGAAGGCCUUCGGGUUGUAAAGCACUUUUGUCCGGAAAGAAAUCUUCCAACUUAAUACGUUGGGAGGAUGACGGUACCGGAAGAAUAAGCACCGGCUAACUUCGUGCCAGCAGCCGCGGUAAUACGAAGGGUGCAAGCGUUACUCGGAAUUACUGGGCGUAAAGCGUGCGUAGGCGGUUCGUUAAGUCUGACGUGAAAUCCCCGGGCUCAACCUGGGACGUGCGUUGGAAACUGGCGAUCUAGAGUACGGUAGAGGGUGGUGGAAUUCCCGGUGUAGCAGUGAAAUGCGUAGGGAUCGGGAGGAACACUCGUGGCAAAGGCGGCCACCUGGACCAGUACUGACGCUGAGGCACGAAAGCGUGGGGAGCAAACAGGAUUAGAUACCCUGGUAGUCCACGCCCUAAACGAUGCUAACUCGAUGUUGG
This 479-nucleotide ribosomal RNA is filed under the name uncultured bacterium. RNAcentral describes it as "bacterial SSU rRNA". It matches the Rfam family "Bacterial small subunit ribosomal RNA", at positions 355 to 826 of the family's 1533-position model. The record is from RNAcentral.